AGAGACUGCCAGCGGCAGCUGCUGGCUCAGGUGCGGCCUGUGUGGGAGGACUCGUGUCUCGGUGGUUACAGAGAAGCUGGCUUCCACGGUGUGAACCCGACUGAAUCACAGGCCGCUUUUUUGUUCUCCCUCGGCCUUGGAGGGCCUGGGACGUUCCUGUUGCCCAACAUCCUGAAUAACAGAGUACACCAGUCAUCAUAAGAAGAAAAAUUCACAUUUAAAGUUUGGAAAGCAACAGGACAAAGGUCUGUCUUCAGUGGUGCGUAGACAUGCUCGUGAUUGAAUUGGAAAUAGUUCUCUUUCCUUCUCUCUGACUUCCUAACUGAAAAGCUGCAGCGUGGGGAGAAAGGCUGCUCAGAAGCCUGGAGCCAGAACACGCACCCCGGCUUUUGCAGGGCCGGCUCACUUGGUUAGAAUCAAAGGAAAAGCCUUGUUAUUUGGGAAGCUGGGCGUCCUCACCAAAUUAGGGGAUUUAAUUUGCAGAUAUCUAAGGAGUGCUUUGAAAUGAAAGAUGAACUAAAAUCUGCUCUGAGGCCCGUGAUUUUUCACCAGUGAAGGACUCUCUUGCUGCUGGACAUACAUGAAAAGCAUCAUCUGAUCUGAAACGCAAGUCCCUGCAAGACAGAGGAGAGACUUUAUAAACAUUUUAUACCAUUCUAUGAAAUCAAUUCGAUUCAGGGCUAGAAUUCAAGAAGUAAUCCAUGGGCAAGUAUAUCUGAUGGUAAACCCAAACGAUUAUAUUGUUAACCUCUUGUACUUUUUUUAAUUUUUUAUUAUUUGAUAUUAUUAUCACAAAAGUCGCUGGAACAGGAUCCAUGAGCUGCUUCUUCACUGCUUAGUGUUUUCAGAAGCUGAUGGAUUAUUAAGCUCCAAUUGAAUACUUGAUUUCCAAUGAUUCCAUUAAUUUUUCUGGUUUGUGGUAGGAUUUGAUUUACUUAUUUUGUACUUUAACACACCAAUAAAAAAUAGAUACUAAGAAA
Molecule: long non-coding RNA, 980 nt
Organism: Homo sapiens (human)
Lineage: Eukaryota; Metazoa; Chordata; Mammalia; Primates; Hominidae
Product: long intergenic non-protein coding RNA 683
Source: Ensembl